Molecule: non-coding RNA, 223 nt
Filed under: Acetobacter indonesiensis
Lineage: Bacteria; Pseudomonadati; Pseudomonadota; Alphaproteobacteria; Acetobacterales; Acetobacteraceae
Source: RNAcentral
GGCACAUCCGGGCCUGAUGGUUCUCUCCCCCUGCGGGAAAGAUGCAAAAGGGAACCGGGUGAGCCUGCUGCAUGUCGCGGGCAAGGCCCGGGCUGUCCCCGCAACUGUAAGCGGAAUGCCCUGCAUGUUGGCUACGGCCAGACCACUGGGAGCACAUCCUGGGAAGGUUAGUGCAGGGUGCGAUACCGUAAGUCAGGAAACCUGCCAUCAGCCGGGGUUGCAG